Molecule: ribosomal RNA, 253 nt
Filed under: uncultured bacterium
Lineage: Bacteria
Description: partial 16S ribosomal RNA
Rfam family: Bacterial small subunit ribosomal RNA
Source: RNAcentral
UACGAAGGGGGCUAGCGUUGCUCGGAAUCACUGGGCGUAAAGGGUGCGUAGGCGGGUCUUAAGUCAGGGGUGAAAUCCUGGAGCUCAACUCCAGAACUGCCUUUGAUACUGAGGAUCUUGAGUUCGGGAGAGGUGAGUGGAACUGCGAGUGUAGAGGUGAAAUUCGUAGAUAUUCGCAAGAACACCAGUGGCGAAGGCGGCUCACUGGCCCGAUACUGACGCUGAGGCACGAAAGCGUGGGGAGCCAAACAGG